GCGCUAUAUUUUCCGGCAAAAUCAAGAUGAAGAUAAUGUAUGGUAAUGAAGAUUUGGAGCAGCAAGAGAUUAAUGACGUGGAGUUGAGCUGAAUAGAAAAUAUUGAAGGAAAAAAAAAAGAUAAAGGAAACUAAAAUAUAAGAAAUGAUGUUGCUAUUACUUGGCUUUCAGUUGUCAUUUUCAGGUUUUUUUUCGUAUGCAUUAAAAAUAUCGAGAUAUGUUGUCUCCCUUUUUUUCGUAUGCAUUAAAAAUUUGUU
Molecule: long non-coding RNA, 257 nt
Filed under: Helianthus annuus (common sunflower)
Lineage: Eukaryota; Viridiplantae; Streptophyta; Magnoliopsida; Asterales; Asteraceae
Description: hypothetical non coding rna
Source: RNAcentral